UGCAAACGCACGGAUUUUAAGCGCGAGCCUCCAAUGAUUUAUUGUAAUUUAUGCGAAGUUAACAAUGAACAUCUAUCGUGGGAAAGGUCGUUGUUGUUGAGAAUAACAUCAUAAAGGAGAUUCUUUUUAUUUUGAAAUUGAAUGGAAGAUAUUUUGGAGACUACUGAAUAGGGAUAUGGAACAUGAUUGCAAGGAUGGCGAUUCGCGAGACAAUGGAAACGAGGUCGUAGAAGAAGGAUGUUGCAUCGACGACGUAGAAUCUCUCGAUGA
Molecule: long non-coding RNA, 270 nt
Organism: Osmia bicornis bicornis
Lineage: Eukaryota; Metazoa; Arthropoda; Insecta; Hymenoptera; Megachilidae
Exons: 3
Source: RefSeq, a predicted model, not a curated record